AUCCAGAUGACGAGUCCCAAACUGGCCGAAAUGUGUAUCCUGGAU
This 45-nucleotide non-coding RNA is filed under the name Trichobilharzia regenti. Lineage: Eukaryota; Metazoa; Platyhelminthes; Trematoda; Strigeidida; Schistosomatidae. The record is from RNAcentral.